CAGGUGAAAAUCCGUAAACCAAAUAAAAAUCAAGUCAAAUUACUGAUUUGGACCAAACUGGUUCGAAUCGAACCGGAAUAGUGUAGAAACUCAGAUUUUCUUUCUCUUUUUUUUUUUUUUCUUUUUCUUUUCUUUCUUCUUCUUCCUUCCCUCUGGAACACGGACCCCAGUAGCUCCCCCUCCCCUUGGUCUCGUUUUUCCGACCACCAGAACCAGCACCUCCUUGCCGCGCCGCCGCCUCACCGCAGCUCCAGCCUCUCUUCCUGUUUCUCUCUUUUCAUCUUUGGCGAGCGCAACUAUCGCAGGGAACCUGCGAUUUCGUCCGAUCAAAAAAUCGCGUCGCAGCUCACUCGAUUUUCUAGCGAUCAGCGAUGAAGCUCCGGUCUCUUCCUUUCUCGCAUUCUCUCCUCUGUUUCCGGUUGGCGCAGCAAAACGAGGAGCUACGAUCGCUAUUUCCUGCUUUUGGACAGUCGACUCGUCGUUUCUCUGCUCCUCCAGCGAAACCAGCCAAGGAUCGGCCGGUUGAGCUCUUCCAUUCCCUCUAGCGACCUCACCGGCCACGAUCCUCUCCAGCUCUGGCCAAGCUAAUGACGGCAGAAUCAGAUCUUGGGUAGUAGAGCAAAUUUCGGUCAUUUUAACCGAAAAUUUCCAAUUUCCAGCUCGUUUUACAGCUAGGUAAGCUCAUCUCUAACUUUCUUUUUGCAUAUUUUGUGAUUCUUUGUGCUAGGAUGUGGAAUUUCAUGUAUUAGUCAAGCUAGAGUAAGGAUUAAAUCCCUAUAUAUUCUAUUUAUGCAAAUUUUAGGAAAAGGUUUGAUUUUAUUUACUAACUAUAAUUAAAACACAUUCUAGUGCGUUUUUUGAAGUGAGUCAUGUAGCUUUAGAUUAGAAUUGAGUAUUGAAUUUAAAGUGGCAGCCUCUAGCUAAAGAAGAUUAUAGUUUUUGUUGAGUUAAGUCCAUAUUUGGUGGUAGAACUAUGUCUUUCGUAAAUUGUUGUUAAUGUGAAGGUUUAAUGAUCGAGAUAGAACAAAAAUGAGAAUUUUCUUGAAAUGGCAGCAACUAUUUUUAAUUAUUCCUAUAAAGUAUUGCUGGAUAUAGUAUAUAUGGGGCUGUAAGUUUAAUUUUUUUGCAAGGGAUUUGUUAAUUGGUGGGUAAUCUAUGAUUUCAGCAUAGAAGAACUCUGAAUUUUUGUAUAUUGGCAGCAACUACCUUGAGAUCUUGUGUUGUUUUAGAAGGACAAAUAUAUAUAACGAGUGUACUUUUAAGAUUUUCUUACUAUUUUGAUGUGUAAAAAUUUUUAAUUAUAAUUGAUACACGGUUAAAAUGAGUUAGUACAUAUAAUUUUGUUUGAUGAGGAUAAUGAUUUACAGAUCAAUAAGCUGAAUCAUGAGACCCCACUUAAUUAUGAAAAGGAAUACAUAAGUUAUAGAUAUAUAUGAUUGUUAAUAGUAUACAACUGGAUAGUUUUAACUAGUAGAAUUGAUGUUAAGCAAAUAGCUAUUUUCACUAAUUUGCUUAUUUAUUUUUUUUCUUAACAGUAUAUAGUAAGUUAAAGUUUGGCAUUGACGAUUAAAUAUUAAUGUGAUUGCUUUGGAUGGAGGAAGGGAAAUAAAUUUGUUUGAUUGCCCGUCGAAUGGGCUGUGUGUAUUGAUUGAUAAAUAUAUGAUAAAUUUUUUAUAUUUUAACGGGUGGAUAGUCCAAAUUUUAGGGGAGAUGUUGCCGAAAUUUCGAUAGAACUUAGACUAGUUUUAAUUAANN
Molecule: long non-coding RNA, 1755 nt
Filed under: Jatropha curcas
Lineage: Eukaryota; Viridiplantae; Streptophyta; Magnoliopsida; Malpighiales; Euphorbiaceae
Description: long non-coding RNA (JCUR_LNC001079)
Source: RNAcentral